RNAcentral lists this ribosomal RNA (468 nucleotides) under uncultured bacterium. Its description in RNAcentral is "bacterial SSU rRNA". It matches the Rfam family "Bacterial small subunit ribosomal RNA", at positions 917 to 1382 of the family's 1533-position model. The record is from RNAcentral.
GGGCCCGCACAAGCGGUGGAGCAUGUGGUUCAAUUCGAAGCAACGCGCAGAACCUUACCAGCCCUUGACAUGUCCCGUAUGGGUUUCAGAAAUGAGACCCUUCAGUUCGGCUGGCGGGAACACAGGUGCUGCAUGGCUGUCGUCAGCUCGUGUCGUGAGAUGUUGGGUUAAGUCCCGCAACGAGCGCAACCCUCGCCCUUAGUUGCCAUCAUUCAGUUGGGCACUCUAAGGGGACUGCCGGUGAUAAGCCGCGAGGAAGGUGGGGAUGACGUCAAGUCCUCAUGGCCCUUACGGGCUGGGCUACACACGUGCUACAAUGGCGGUGACAAUGGGAUGCAAUGGGGCAACCCUGCGCAAAUCUCCAAAAGCCGUCUCAGUUCGGAUUGGGGUCUGCAACUCGACCCCAUGAAGUCGGAAUCGCUAGUAAUCGUAGAUCAGCACGCUACGGUGAAUACGUUCCCGGGCCUU